GGCUAGAUCUGUUGUUGGAACGCGGCUGCUGAGCCAGGGUCUAGAUUUCCCAGCCUCGCUGGCGUGUGGGUGUGGCCACAUGAGAGUCCUGGCCAAAGGAAUGUGAGCAGGAGUGUCCUUCGCCACUUCUCAGCUAGGUCUCUUAAGAAGCAGGUAUGCCUUUCUACCUGCAAUUUCUUCCAUUUCCUCUACUGCCUCCUCCACCUGGCUGGAGGAACAUGACAAUGGGGGCCUAAUUGAGGUGGAACUACAGAUGAACUGAACCUGGGUUCUUAAGUCGCUACCUGCAAGAAAGCUGCCUGCCAACCAGAAGCACCAUGUGAGCAAGAAAGGGGCCUCAAAAUGUGUAAUAUCUGUGAGACAUUAGAAAUUUAUUCAUUACAGCUGCUAGUGUUACCCCAGCAAUGCAAGUACCUUUGUGACUCUAGUUUACUGGAGAUUUUUGAUAAGAGAUUCUGCUGUAGUACUUACUUUAAUGAAGGGAUGAGACUCACUUGCAAUCAAUAGACCAUUUGGACACAGAUUUUAUUUUAAAUUAUGAUAAAAACACAUAACAUGCAUUUACCCUCUUAAUAAUUUUGAAGUGUACGUUAGUGUAUUGUUGGCUAUAUACACACUGUUGAACAUUAGAUCUCUAGGGCUUUUUUCAUCUUUUGACUGAAAAUCUAUACUCAUUAAACAACAAGACACAUAUUUUUAAAGUCUUUAAUAGUAACUUAUGUUCUUAAGGAGAUAAACUGUUUUUUAAAUAAAAUUUAUAAAACUGAAAGAGAAACUAUGUCUAGAAGUCUCUUCUACAUGAAGAAUGGAAAAAGCAAGGUAAGCAAUUUAAUAAAUAAGGGCAGGAAAAAAGGGAUGACAUUUAAUUUUUUUAAUUGUAUUUUUUCCAUUACCAUUUAACCCUCUUAUACUUCCCUCCCCCUGCAAUCACCACGCUGUUGUCCAUGUCCAUGAGUCCUUUUUCCUUUUUGAUCCAUCCUUCCACCAUGUAAAAUCCGCCUACACCAAUAGCUGUCAUCAUGUUCUCUAUCUAUCAGUCUACCUUUAUUUUGUUUGUUAGUUCAGUUGGUUCAUUAGAUUCCACAUAUAAGUGAAAUCAUAUGGUGUUUGUCUU
Phyllostomus discolor (pale spear-nosed bat) is the source of this 1114-nucleotide long non-coding RNA. RefSeq lists it as uncharacterized. The transcript is spliced from 3 exons. The record is from RefSeq and is a predicted model, not a curated record. Lineage: Eukaryota; Metazoa; Chordata; Mammalia; Chiroptera; Phyllostomidae.